AGUGAACGCUGGCGGUAGGCCUAACACAUGCAAGUCGAACGGCAGCACAGUAAGAGCUUGCUCUUACGGGUGGCGAGUGGCGGACGGGUGAGGAAUACAUCGGAAUCUACUUUUUCGUGGGGGAUAACGUAGGGAAACUUACGCUAAUACCGCAUACGACCUACGGGUGAAAGCAGGGGAUCUUCGGACCUUGCGCGAUUGAAUGAGCCGAUGUCGGAUUAGCUAGUUGGCGGGGUAAAGGCCCACCAAGGCGACGAUCCGUAGCUGGUCUGAGAGGAUGAUCCGCCACACUUGAACUGAGACACGGUCCAGACUCCUACGGGAGGCAGCAGUGGGGAAUAUUGGACAAUGGGCGCAAGCCUGAUCCAGCCAUACCGCGUGGGUGAAGAAGGCCUUCGGGUUGUAAAGCCCUUUUGUUGGGAAAGAAAAGCAGCAGGUUAAUACCCCGCUGUUCUGACGGUACCCAAAGAAUAAGCACCGGCUAACUUCGUG
RNAcentral lists this ribosomal RNA (492 nucleotides) under uncultured bacterium. RNAcentral's name for it is "partial 16S ribosomal RNA". It matches the Rfam family "Bacterial small subunit ribosomal RNA", at positions 29 to 507 of the family's 1533-position model. The record is from RNAcentral.